UUGNUCAUGGCUCACGGCUGCCCGCUCGGCUUNACCAUGCCUAAUACAUGCAAGUCGAGCGAACAGACGAAGGAGCUUGCUCCUCUUGACGUUAGCGGCGGACGGGUGAUGUAAGCACUGCUGGGCAACCUACCUCUAAUAUCGUUUUUGUGUGAGUAUACUCCUGUGUGAAACCGGAGGCCUAAAUACCCGAGAAUAACUCAUACUUUAUCUACGUUCAAUAGUGCUUGAAGAUACCUUGACAAAGACCGUGUUUCCGGCUAGUCAGCUAUAC
RNAcentral lists this ribosomal RNA (274 nucleotides) under uncultured bacterium. RNAcentral describes it as "partial 16S ribosomal RNA". The record is from RNAcentral.